CCAUAGCCUAGUUGGUCGAGCACAAGGUUUUCAAUCUUGUGGUCGUGGGUUCGAGCCCUAUUGG
RNAcentral lists this transfer RNA (64 nucleotides) under Vitis vinifera (wine grape). It matches the Rfam family "tRNA", at positions 5 to 66 of the family's 71-position model. Rfam says of the family: Transfer RNA (tRNA) molecules are approximately 80 nucleotides in length. The record is from Rfam by way of RNAcentral. Lineage: Eukaryota; Viridiplantae; Streptophyta; Magnoliopsida; Vitales; Vitaceae.